RNAcentral lists this transfer RNA (73 nucleotides) under Stegodyphus mimosarum. It matches the Rfam family "tRNA". From Rfam's summary of the family: Transfer RNA (tRNA) molecules are approximately 80 nucleotides in length. Their secondary structure includes four short double-helical elements and three loops (D, anti-codon, and T loops). Lineage: Eukaryota; Metazoa; Arthropoda; Arachnida; Araneae; Eresidae. The record is from Rfam by way of RNAcentral.
GUCUUGGUAGUACAGUGGUCAGCACACUGGGCGCUUAUUUGGGAGAUCCGUGGUUCGAGUCCCGGCCAGGGCU